CUCCGGUUGAUCCCGCCGGACCCGACUGCUAUCAGAGUGGGACUAAGCCAUGCGAGUCAACGUAGCAAUACGUGGCAUACGGCUCAGUAACACGUAGUCAACAUGCCCAGGGGACGAGGAUAACCUCGGGAAACUGAGGAUAAACCUCGAUAGGCCAUGAUUUCUGGAAUGAUUCUUGGCUCAAACCUAUAUGGCCCCUGGAUUGGACUGCGGCCGAUCAGGCUGUUGGUGAGGUAAUGGCCCACCAAACCUAUUACCGGUACGGGCUCUGAGAGGAGGAGCCCGGAGAUGGGCACUGAGACAAGGGCCCAGGCCCUAUGGGGCGCAGCAGGCGCGAAACCUCUGCAAUAGGCGAAAGCUUGACAGGGUUACUCUGAGUGAUUUCCGCUAAGGGAAUCUUUUGGCACCUCUAAAAAUGGUGCAGAAUAAGGGGUGGGCAAGUCUGGUGUCAGCCGCCGCGGUAAUACCAGCACCCCGAGUGGUCGGGACGAUUAUUGGGCCUAAAGCAUCCGUAGCCGGUCCUGCAAGUCUUCCGUUAAAUCCAGCUGCUCAACAGAUGGGCUGCGGGAGAUACUACAGGGCUAGGAGGCGGGAGAGGCAAGCGGUACUUUAUGGGUAGGGGUAAAAUCCGCUGAUCCAUAGAAGACCACCAGUGGCGAAGGCGGCUUGCCAGAACGCGCUCGACGGUGAGGGAUGAAAGCUGGGGGAGCAAACCGGAUUAGAUACCCGGGUAGUCCCAGCUGUAAACGAUGCAGACUCGGUGAUGAGUUGGCUUAUUGCUAACUCAGUGCCGCAGGGAAGCCGUUAAGUUUGCCACCUGGGGAGUACGGUCGCAAGACUGAAACUUAAAGGAAUUGGCGGGGGAGCA
This 868-nucleotide ribosomal RNA is filed under the name uncultured archaeon. RNAcentral's name for it is "bacterial SSU rRNA". It matches the Rfam family "Archaeal small subunit ribosomal RNA", at positions 1 to 878 of the family's 1478-position model. The record is from RNAcentral.